Molecule: non-coding RNA, 23 nt
Filed under: Rattus norvegicus (Norway rat)
Lineage: Eukaryota; Metazoa; Chordata; Mammalia; Rodentia; Muridae
Source: RNAcentral
AUUUCUGACUACGUAGACAAGCC